This is a long non-coding RNA of Gossypium arboreum, 284 nucleotides long. RefSeq lists it as uncharacterized. The record is from RefSeq and is a predicted model, not a curated record. NCBI's taxonomy places the organism in Eukaryota, Viridiplantae, Streptophyta, Magnoliopsida, Malvales, Malvaceae. The transcript is spliced from 2 exons.
UUAUGGACUAAAUGGGUAAAUUGCCGUUUCCGGAUCGAGCAUUGGCAGGUCGGCUCGGGGUUGGAGAUCGUCGGAGACAAAAUCACACUAUUAAACUAUCAUUUUGGAAGAAUUAAUUCAAAUAUUAGAAAUAUCAAGUGAGUGGCAUGUAUAGGAUGUUAGUUUGUGAUAUGUAUUUUUAUUAUGAUUUUGACCAUACGUAUCAGUCUGCAUUGAGUUAUCGUAUAUGAUCAUUAGAUGUAGUCCUUAUCCAUUAUGGUUUAUAAGUUUAAUUAAUCGUGCCA